This is a long non-coding RNA of Homo sapiens (human), 1863 nucleotides long. RefSeq annotates it as long independently transcribed non-coding RNA 2164. The record is from RefSeq and is a predicted model, not a curated record. Lineage: Eukaryota; Metazoa; Chordata; Mammalia; Primates; Hominidae. The transcript is spliced from 3 exons.
CACCAAUCAGCACCCUGUCAAAGCAGACCAAUCAGCUGUCUGUAAAACCAACCAAUCAGCUCUCUGUAAAAUGGACCAAUCAGCAGGAUGUGGGUGGGGCCAGAUAAGGGAAUAAAAGCAGGCUGCCCCAGCCAGUAGUGGCAACCUGCUGGGGUCCCCUUCCACGCUGUGGCAGCUUUGUUCUUUGGCUCUUUGCAAUAAAUCUUGCUGCUGCUCACUCUUUAGGUCCACACUCCCUUUAUGAGCUGUAACACUCACCACAAAGGUCUGCAGCUUCACUCCUGAAGCCAGCGAGACCACGAGCCCACCAGGAGGAAGAAACUCUGAACGCAUCCGAACAUCAGAAGGAACAAACUGCGGACACGCCCUCUUUAAGAACUGAGACACUCACCGUGAGGGUCCGCAGCUUCAUUCUUGAAGUCAGUGAGACCAAGAACCCACCAAUUCCGGACAACUAGCUUCAGACUUAGCUGCAUCUAGGUUCAAAUAAUGUCAUCAGGGUCCUCUGUAUGUCUCUCUCUUUAUCCCUCAGCUCCACUUUGCUUUAUUAUCAGACAAGCUUUAUCCAGGUGGACACAAGACGGCAGUUCACGGUCUCAAGCCUGUGUACUACACACAGCCCUCAAUACCAGCUUAGGAGAAAGUGUCUUUCCCACAACCUCUGAGAAAAGACUCAUGGAAAGUAGUGAUUGGUCCAUUCUUAGGAUAUAUCCAUUCCUGGACCAAUCAAUGUGGCCAGCAGGAUUGAGUCCUCUGAUUGGACAAGGCUGAGUCAUGUGACCUCCCUGAACCACAUAAACUGAAUAAUACUGUUCUGAAAAUAGGAGAAAGUGGUUUGCAGAAAAGAUGAGGUGCUGGCCUGACCACGGUGCGUGCCCCUUGGUCAACAAACAGAAUCUGAAGAAUCCAGGAAAUCACAAAGGAUUCUAAGAGGUCACAAAGACUGAUGUUAUCAGGCCCCAAAGCUUCUACAUGAGUGUCAAGAGAAAAAAUACCUUGAUCACUCAGGUGCCCUCUCCUCAGUUUUUCUCUGUCCAGGCUUGAAGAACUAUAACCAUUUCCAAGUUCUAAAAGGACAGGUGGGGGAGUUAUUUGUUUGUUUAUUUGUUUGUUUUGAUUUCAGAAAGAUGUGAACUCCAGGAUCUCUUGAGAGACUGCCAGAGCCAGCAGCCCCAAGGAUACUUCGAACAGUGGGCACUGGUGCAAUUCUAUAAAAAGAAACCAGAAACCAUUUAGAUGUGUGUCAGGAAGAAGCACUUCCAGAUGCUUGAGGAAAGAUGCAAGAUAGCAAGGUACUGAGUAUAAAACGAUAUAAAACAAUAUGAGAGGGUCUCUCUCUUCCCUCACUGCCACUACAUCCUAUUUGUGGAAACAGUCUCAAUCCUGCUCAGAUUCAAGAGGAGGAGAUUUGUACUUCGCCUCUUGAUGGGGGUGAAACAAGCUUCUAGAAGGGCCCACAGGAUGGGAGAUAUUUUGGCCAUCUUCAGAGAACACAGUUUGCCUCAGCAAACAGCAUAUUGUAUGACUUCACCAGGCUGUCCUAACUUACAAACCCCACUUUAAAAUUACCACCCCUGGGAACCCCAUUGCAAGUUUAGAAAAAUCACUGGAUUCAUGAGGUCAGGAGAUCGAGACCAACCUGGCUAACAUGGUGAAACCCUGCCUCUAUUAAAAAUGCAAAAAAUUAGCCGGGUAUGGUGGCACGCGUCUUUAGUCUCAGCUACUCGGAAGGCUGAAGCAGGAGAAUCGCUUGAACCCGGGAGGGGGAAGUUGCAGUGAGCAGAGACUGCGCCACUGCACUCCAGCCUGGGUGACAGAGUGAGAUUCCUUCUCAAAAAAAAAAAAGAAAAAAAGAAAAGAAAA